GACGAACGCUGGCGGCGUGCUUAACACAUGCAAGUCGAACGGAAAGGCCCUGCUUUUGUGGGGUGCUCGAGUGGCGAACGGGUGAGUAACACGUGAGUAACCUGCCCUUGACUUUGGGAUAACUUCAGGAAACUGGGGCUAAUACCGGAUAGGAGCUCCUGCUGCAUGGUGGGGGUUGGAAAGUUUCGGCGGUUGGGGAUGGACUCGCGGCUUAUCAGCUUGUUGGUGGGGUAGUGGCUUACCAAGGCUUUGACGGGUAGCCGGCCUGAGAGGGUGACCGGCCACAUUGGGACUGAGAUACGGACCAGACUGGUACGGGAGGCAGCAGUGGGAAAUAUUGCACAAUGGGCGGAAGCGUGAUGCAGCAACGCCGCGUGCGGGAUGACGGCCUUCGGGUUGUAAACCGCUUUCGCCUGUGACGAAGCGUGAGUGACGGUAAUGGGUAAAGAAGCACCGGCUAACUACGUG
This 468-nucleotide ribosomal RNA is filed under the name uncultured bacterium. RNAcentral's name for it is "partial 16S ribosomal RNA". It matches the Rfam family "Bacterial small subunit ribosomal RNA", at positions 28 to 507 of the family's 1533-position model. The record is from RNAcentral.